CUUUUUUUUCCUUUUUAGCGAUUGAACAGGAGAAGCAAGCGGGUGAAUCGUAAUGAAAUCUGCCCUUCCAAAUUAUGCACUGUACAUUCCACAAGCAUUGCCUUCUUAUUUUACUUCUUUUAGCUGUUUAACUUUGUAAAAUGCAAAGAGGUUGGGUAAAGUUUAAAAAUGACUGUACUGCCCCUUUCACAUCAAAAGAAUAGAGAGAACUACUGACAAUGAAUGAAGGCGCUGCCUUUCCCUCUGCCUGUCUGGCUUUGGUCCUGGUGGCAUGAAAGAGCUUGCAUGUUGAUGGAAGAAGAACUUGGGUGGGACUACAGUAAACUAGAGUAACACACGAAUAAAUGCAAAGCUGUACCAAGGUCCUGCGAGCUGUAAAAUGCAGUUAAUCGAGUGCCAUAUUUUUUUUUUGGUUCAAAUGAUUUUAAUUAUUGGAAUGCACAAUUUUUUUAAUAUGCAAAUAAAAUGUUUUAAAACCUGGAUGGUAUUUCUGUCCUCUAUCUGGAGAAGCGUAUCAAAGGAAUGUGAAGCGUAAGAGCCGGUGCUGAGGAUGCUAGGAAGCCUCUGGAGAUGAUCCAAACCUCCAUCACCAUUCUCAGGUUCUGAUACAUGUUCUCAGCAAUAGAUGUGUUUGCGUCCCUUGGAGCUCGCUCUUAGAGCAUCACAUUUAAACACUGCAUGUCUUAAAAUUGGUUGUCAUGUGAGUACAUCACUUUAAAUACGACUUUAAUAUUUAUGUAGAGAUUUGUUGAAAAGCAAAAGAUUUGGCUUUUUUUUUUUUUUUUUUUGCUUUGCCCCACCCAUAGCGUAGCACUGUUGGUAAGAACCUUUCUGUAUUGCUGCACAGAUUCAACCUCAGUUGUAUGAAUUGAUAGCAGGUUUAAUUAAUAGGACUCAUUCUGCUUAACAGUAUUUAAUAAAUUUUCGUUCCAAGACUGUUAGAUGUUUAAUAUCCUAAACCAGUUUUAGUGGGUGGUGUCCUAUGCCAACUAAAAUCAUUUUACUAAAAUGUUGAUCGUGCUUUAAACGCUUCUAUGUUCUCUUAAUGGCUAUUUGAUCUUAAGGAUUGAUACAGAAGAAUAUAAAACUACAGUUUCCUCCUAAUUAAUUGAAAAUUAAUCAUUUGCGUGCAAAAGUAACAAAUCAGGUUAUGAUACAUUUUAUCUGUGACUAGCAACCCUGCACAUUGCUGGUUGAUGGUGGUUCAUUCAGUCCUGGGAUAAUUUUUGUUUGUUUUUACCUCAAAUAACUCAAAUAACUGUGGGUAAAAUCUCUCACAGAGAGGUAGUGGGAGUAGUCAUGAUAUAGCCUAUUUUAAUACAAAGGACAAAGAUGUCAGGCCUGCAGCAGUGUGUUGAGCAUGAUUCCAGAGUGCCUUGGUUGUCUCUUCAGGCUCAGCCUGUAUUCGUUUCAACCAUUUCCUAUAAAGCAUCGAGUUAAGUUUGGAUUUGCUAAGGCUGCUGAUGGUAGGUUUGGGGAGGUGGCAUAAAUGUGGGAAUCUAAGCAUAGCAACCAGCUUUGUCCUUGACUGAGGAAUGGUGGUGAGGGUGGUGGGGCUCCCUUGCCUGCCUGGGGUCUGGUGGAGAGAGCAGACCUGGAGUCCCUUGUGUGCAGCCCCAGCCUAACGACAGAGAACUUUCAGAACCGUGCGUUUGGUGGUAAGAUGAGAUUCAGUCCUGAGAAGUUUUCAUGCAGUCUAUGGGAAGAUUUUGAAGCCCUGAUGGCAUAGGGACCUCGCAGCAGUUCAAGCAGAUGAGCUGAGGAAAAAAAGCAAACCAUUUCUUGUGAUGGUAAAUGUAUUAAGCUUUUAUUCCCUGUGUACAGUGGGAAAGGCACAGGAAACUUCUAAGCUGAGUUUCUGAAAAGUCAAUUAAACGGCCAACGUGCAGCUACUGAUGGUAAUCAGGUAGCACAGGAAAUAGCAUGACUAACCUCAGAAGCUUACAGCACAGGCUGUACGUGCUCAAUAGCGGCAAGCGCUCGCUCACUGCGGAUUCACCUAUACAAAGGAAAUUAAAGCAGCACAUUUCCAAAAGAGGAAGAGCAGAAGAUACGCAUAGCUCUGGAUCCUCAGCUGGACUGGCUGAAGGCAGAUGGUUCCACGGGUGGAGCCUGGGGGAACUGCGGAGACUCAUAUCCACUCUGAAAGUUAGCACUUCAUUUACUGUCUGGCAUUACUGGCCUUGGUGAGGAAAAGAAAGCAGCAGACACAGACCACUUCUUUAACAAGCAGAAGGGAAAGGAUGUUCCUCCUGUUCUUCCUCGUCAUCCCUGUGUCUCACAGGUGAGGAGUCCCCACUGAGAAGCAGCCCUUCCUUUUCUCACCCCUCAGCAACAAGCAACAUGCUCACCGAAAUAAGAAGGUAGCCUGAGGCUUCUUGAUCAGUGCUCAAUGAAAUGUUUCGUGUCUAAGUCAAGGUUUGUCUGGAGCUAGACAGAAGUUGUGAACUCAACAUUUACACACAUAAGGCACUCCCCUUCGAUUCCCUCUAGGUCUACUUGUGUUUGUUCUUUGCCUUUCAGACAUUCAGUCAGUCAUACAUUAUCCCUUAAGGCAAUGAUGAUUUUUGAAAAAAAACCCACACUUAUAACUCAGUCAGUAAUUUAAUUGACAAGACUAUACAUACUUUACCACCUCCAGAAACAAGCAUGAAUACAUGAGGACUAAAAGAAGUUUCAAAUAUGCAAGUUUUAUUAUUCUCAUCUUUGUAAUACUUUUCACAGUUAUGACCAAUGAUUUUGUUACACAUUAGAAAGUCAUAUUCCAGCAGCAAAAUAAUAGGACUAGAAAUUAAUAAUUCCCAUUACCUCAUGACAUCUUAAGUGCCUCUAAUGCCACCUCUUUUUUGUCACCUAUUCUUUACUGGGUCUUCUAGUUAGUUUAUCUUGAUGGUAAACAUCCAGGCAGUACUUGUGGAAUUUGUAUGAUAUAAAUGUACACCUUCGUUGUGCAGCAUGCUCCUAUGAUUCAUAUUCUCAAUAUAAUUUAAACAACCACCAAUAUGAGCUAUAAUUUCCAUCAUUUAGAAGAUAACAUAUGGAACAGGACACUAUUGUUUUUUCUUAUGAAUACUGAAAUAUGCAGAUGUUAUUUUGUUGAUUACAACUUCUUUGUGGUGAAAACAGAAAAAUUUAGUCCACUUUAGGCAAAACAAUCUUAGUAAAAAUGUUAUAAAAGAUGUACCUCAUAAAUCACCCAUGAAAUGAACCAAAUAUCAAGGGCUAUUAUUGUCUUUAUCUUUGUGUUGUCUUAAUUUUCUCCCAGUAACUAAAACGUGCACUAAAAUGUGCAUCCCUGAUCUCCCAUAUAAAAAAUCUAAUUAAUAAUGUGCAAGCUAUUACCUUGUUGUUUUGGGUGUUUUUUUUUUUUUUUUUUUCAGAAUUAUCUGCAAUUGUUUUAGUAGGGUUAUUUCAUAUAGAUCUCUGUGUUGGGUGAAUGCUGCAUUUAGCAGCGUGAAUAUUUAAGGCCAUGGAGCAUUAAAUUAGUGAGUUCUAAGUAUAGAGUCUCAUCGUUGUGUGAAGCACAUAUAGGACAGUAUGUAUCUUUAUAUAUCCUAUUUACCACUUAUCUGCUCCCAUUGCUUUUAUCAGUCUGGCUUUCUUCCUCAUUUGCCCAUCCAUUCUUGAGUUUAGUCACAUAUGUUUCUUGAUUUACAAUAUUUCAUGGUCAGCUGGUCUGUAAGGACAGAUUCUUGCAUUUCCAUGAAAAUAAAGGAUCCCAAGGUGUCUAUGUGCAUUUUUAUGCUAUAUUCACAUGGGCUCUCAGAAAUGAGUUAGCUUGUACAGGUAGGGAUAGAUUUGCAAAAGCACUCUGUUGAUUCAGGUGCAUACAUGCUUUGAAACCUUGGCUUACAGUAGCUCUAGCUAUUCUGUAAAGUUGUCCUUAUUGAGUGUUUAAAAGUUGGGCUCGGGACAAAUUUGUAAAAAUGGAUCCUCCAGAGUCCAUCAAGCACAAUGAGAACCAUAGGUAUUAUUGUGGACUGGGGAAUGAGCAUUACCUCAUCUCUUCCAGUAGGUAAUUCAGUGUAGGCCUCAUUCACUCUAUGCCUUAGUCAUUUUUUGUUUAUUUACAUAGACUGCUCAGCUCAUUUCUGUGUUACAAGGAAUUGUCAGAUCCCAUUCCUUUUGUCCCUUUGUUCAUAGUUAGCAAAACUCCCACUUACUCUAUGACAUUACUAUGUCACUUAUGUUAAAAUUUAGGUUCUGUAGUCCCACUUUUUUUACAACUUUUUACCUGUAACUUCCCUGUCAGUUUUGUUCUCAUUAGUUGAUCCUAUGGAUAGUUAUCUCAAAGGUAGCUAGAAACUGUUUCUGUACAAUUGAGUAGUUGUGUUGGACAUUUUGCCCUUUGUUUGAUAAGAGAGCAGCUUAUUUUUAUGAAUCAUUAGCCAUCAGACUUCAAUAAAACUUGAGGGUUAACAUACUGAGAACUAUUUGUCUGUGGAGAAAUUUAAUGAAACAAAGGAGGAAAUGUAGUCCAAGGCCUUCAAACAAAGAAACCUCUCUUGAACAAGGACUCGUUGUACUUGGCAUCACUGACUUGCCUUUUUUUACCUGGAAUCCAGGCAAAAUGGUACUUUAGAAAAUCAAGCACUGAAAUCUGAUGCAUGGAAAAAGCUUUAGAAGUGUGCAGACUGAAAAGGAUUAAAAAGUCCUUGUCUUCUUUUAAGUAUCCUCCAGAAACAACUAUCCCCAGCUUAGCGUAACUGUGUGAGAAGCACCAGUGCUGGGACCUAAGUGUACAGAAAGGCACACCCUGGCAGCUGCUGGCCUGAUGCCUGGCUCAGAUAAUUACCUGGUCAGAAGAAUAUCAGUGCAGGUCUGGUCCCAGGGAGUAGUCUGGUAGACAGGUAUCACUAGUUUUAGACCAAAUUUACAUUUAAAUGACAACCUGUUAGAUGGUUAGGUAGUUCUGAAUCUUUGUCACACCUCAAACCCUGUUGAAUUACAUCCAGGCUAGCACUGUUUCCUCCACUGAGUUGGCAGAGCUGUUGGUAAGGCACAUAGUGACCUUGACUGGGGUGAAAAACAGCCAAAAAUGUUUUCUUUUCCAGUGAGAGCAUUUCCCUGCCCCAACUCUCCAGGCAAUUGCAUGAAGACUUGUGCUAGCUCAACAGUGAUGUGCAGGAGGGAAGUGGAGGGGAGAAGGUCAGAGGUCCUCCAGCACAAACUGGGGCUGGAAACUUGCGGAAGCCAAUGUGCCUACGAUACCAAAUGGUCGUUUCUGCUUUCCUCCUUAUUUUGUGCUAAGCAGUCAGCAAGUGCUCUGUCCUUUGGCUACUGCAGUGCUAAAACCUCUGGGGACUCUAGCUCUCAAUGAAUGAUGAAUGUAUUUACAUAGGUAUACUUAUAUAGGCAGAGAAGACAGUUGCUGUUUUGGCACAUCUAAAGUCCUCUCUGAAAUGGCAAGGAAGAAGGCUAAGUAUGACAGAUUUACUGUGAACCUCCCACUGACAUCUACUUCCAGUUUUGGCAGCUAUUUGUUCCCUGUCCGUAAGCCUGCUCCUUCGUGGCUUUGUCAUUCCCCUUUCUUCUCACAUUGCAGGGCUCUGUGCAGGGAGAAGCAGAGGUGACAGCCUUCCGGAAGGGGCUCAGCCAACUCCAGACCAGCACAGUCAGUGUGCUUUGCACCCUCUCUGCCCUGUUAAGCAUGUCAUUUACACCCUGUGAGAAGAGGAUUCUCCUUGCCUCCCACUCCCAGGUGCUCAGCGAGACUUGCUGACACUCAAUAUAUGGCUGCUUGAGGGGGGACCCCAGGGCACGACUGACUCAGAGCUGUCAGCUCCCUGCCAAGGGGCAAAACAAGAGGUGCGAACUACAGAAGAUAGAAUUUGAAACGAUGCUGCUCACGAUAAAUAGCAAGCUGAGCCUGCCAUAAGGCAAACAGAUGGAUGCGGUGCCCUUUGGUUCUCUCCAGCUACAGAAGUAAUUCUUCUUUCUUGAGUCAUGUGUAGCAAUGGUACAAUUAUUUUUGGACCACCACCAAGACGCCACUGAUAUAACGAUUACGUCUGUGGUACAACCGCUGGCAAUUACUUGUUGCAGCAGUAUGUAGCAGUGUGUUUAGAUGCAUUACUUUUCAUUGUUAGAUGUUUUCACAGUUCAACUUCAAAUUUUCUGAGAGUGUCAUGUAAGACAGAGCGUGAUUGUGUCUGAGUGCUCAACCUGAGAUACAUUAGAGGACUCUGGAUUCAGUUAAGCACCAAAAAAAAACUUCUCUGUAAAAGAUAGCCAGGAGGACACAUGACAAAUGCAUGUUUUUUUCCUGGGAUCUUCUCUCUGGAAAUCUGCGUAUAUUUCAUAGAAAUUACUGCCCACAUUUGAAUCCUGCAAAUAUUUGCUUGUCUUGAUAUACUGUUUGAAGAGUACAUGGGUAUGAAAUUCAUCACUACUGAUGUGAUGCUGACCAUGCUUUGCUGUCAUGGAUUGAUAGCAUCACUAUGUAUUGACUGCACAGCAGUAUUAAAAAUGGACCCUGGGGAUGCAUCUUAAGACACCUGUUUGGAAGGUCCAAGGGUGAGAUCCCAGCGUUGUAUUUAGCUGAGACCAGGCAACUUAUUCUUAGGCAGUACAGUGCUGAGCUCUUCAUACAGCCGAUGGCAAGUCAUCAUGCUUGCCUCUGAAUGACGGAGCCAGCCAUAGUGUUCCAUUGUUCCGGGCAUGUAUAAAACUUUUGCCCUCCCUCCCAUCCUCUUGCACUCACCUCUCUAUGGCCUACUGCUUCCAUCCUUAUUUCUUCAUGGGCUUCAACAUCUCACAAGUAGCCAUUGCUUUGUCUCUUCUUCUGCAGUCUUUAAUGAAUGUUCUGACUCCAGUCUUUUGCCAGAACUUAUUUACCUGGCAGAUGACUGCAGAAAAUGUUUCCAUCAUUUUAAGAUCUACAGCAACUAGGAUAUACUACAGAGAAUGUCUGGUGCUGAGCAGGAUUAUAAAGCUCUAUUUUCCCCUCUUCUCCUUCACACCAGCAGUUGUGGCAUAUGCUCAGAAUUUGACAUGGCCACAGCUGAGCAGCAACCCAUUUAGAUCUGGGUUGCAUUUGCCUCUAGAGACACAGGUGGAAUGUGAGCCAUCUGUCCAGUGCUAAAUGCAAGACAGCCCAGGGAUCGUGCCCUUGCAUGACUUUUCCUUUUAUUUCCUUUAAAUAAAUAGAUUAACCAUUCUUGAUCUUCUUGCAAGUUUGAAAACAAUGGAGGGUUGGAAAUUGCAGCUGGGAAAAUGUUUUUGGGGGUACAAUAAAGUCAUUGAUAUACUGGAGCAAGUCCAGCAGAGAUCAACCAAAAUGACUCGAGGCAGAGCACAUGAUGUAAGAGGGAAGCCUGAGAGAGCAGCUGGGUUUGCUCAGCCUGGAGAAGAGAAGCAUUGCUUAAUGAGAUGUUGCAGAAAAGAUGGAGACAUUCUUUCUGACUACAAGUUACAACUGACUAGCUAUCAAAAGCAAACUUGUGACAAUCAGGGGGUCAAACACUGGAAACAGAGGGGCCUGGGAACUGCCGUCCCUGGAUAUAUUAAGAACACCAAAGGUCCUGAGCAUCCUGAUCUAACUGCAAAGCUUGUCCUGUCUUGAGUGCAGUAUUGGAGCAGGUAAUCUCCAGAGCUCUUUUGUAAAACAAAUUAUUCUAUGUUUCCAUUAUAAUUGAGAAUGGGAAACAAAGGCAGCAGACCAGCAGGGCCUGUUAGGGGAUAGCUAAGCAAUACACAAUUUUUAUCAUUUAUUCAUUAUUGCACAAAUGGUUUCCUUGCUCUGUCACUACAUCUGUAUUGCUUGGCUUGGUCUAAAGUCAUUGCUUUUCUCCAAGGGGCAAGAAGAACACUGGCACUGUGGUAUAUCACCCAGUCACACAACAGCUUCAGUGCCAGCCUCCUUGCAAGACAAUAGGCUCACCAGCCUCAAAGAUAACAGGGCAGUUCUUUGAUUUCAAGCGUUUAAAAGCUGUAUUAAGGCAAAUAAAUGCAUUACUUGCAUUUCAACAUUCUCACCUCAGGCACUUGUAUCCCUUGUUUUCUGUGCUGUCACAUGGCCAUGAUGGAGUCCUCACUAGCAGCAGGGAUACCCAUCUGACUCUGAAGUUUGGAACAGAGAAGAUCCCCCAAAGGGAGAAGCUAAUGGCACUCUUGACUGGCUAAGGCUGCAGACCCAAGCCUGUACCCGUACCAGCCAGUGCCCUUGAUCUAUAUUCCCUCAGCAAAGAUCUUUGCCAUGGGACACUAUGAGAUUGUGGUCUCUUAACAUUUGUUCUUACUUUAAGAGCUGGAAUUGACUCUGCUACUUUGUGAUUUCUCAGUGUUCCUUUAAGCCUCAUUUUCUGGAGUUCUGCAAUAAAAUAUAUAAAUACUAGCUCAGCUAGGCUAAUGGUGAAGGGUUCACAUACAGGAAGACAAUGAAUUGACUGAGUCAGAGGGAGACCAUGAAGAACUACUUUGGAUGUACUUGGAAGAGAAUGUGUAUACUCUGUUAUAAACACAGGAUGUCUUCACUGACUCGAUAAGUGCUCAGACACCUGGAGAAUUACAUGUGAUAUAGGAAAUAUGGAAAUCCAUACUGGAAACUAAAUUUUGUGCUUUCGAACUGGCAUACAAUUUUUUCGUGAGCAGUAAGACAGUGACAAACAAGUUGAAAACCCUUGACCUGUAAGUCUAAUAAAAUACAAGAACUGAUAUAGUAUCAGAUAGUAAUUUAAAAAAAAAA
Molecule: non-coding RNA, 8686 nt
Organism: Meleagris gallopavo (turkey)
Lineage: Eukaryota; Metazoa; Chordata; Aves; Galliformes; Phasianidae
Source: RefSeq, a predicted model, not a curated record